UAGAUCGUGAGGACUACUGGAGCGCUUAGAAGUGAGAAUGCCGGUGUGAGUAACGCUAGGAGGGUGAGAAUCCCUCCCACCAAUUGACUAAGGGUUCCAGGGUACGGUUCGUCUUCCCUGGGUUAGUCAGGACCUAAGCCGAGGCCGAAAGGCGUAGGCGAUGGACAACAGGUUUAUAUUCCCGUACUGGCUAUGUGACUGAUGGAGCGACGGAGAAAGCAAGUAAGGGCCUAUUAUUGGAUUUAGGUCUAAGUACAAAGAGUAAUGCGUUAGCAAAUCUGCGACAUUAUUAGCUUGAAGUACGAUGGCGAAGAUUCCCUCGGGAAUCGAAGUCUUAUGCAGCUAUGCUUCCAAGAAAAACUUCUAAAGAUAUUACAUAGUCACCUGUACCAAGUACCGACACAGGUGGUCAAGGAGAGUAUCCUAAGGUGAGCGAGAUAACCAUGGGUUAAGGAACUCGGCAAAAUUGCCCUGUAACUUCGGGAUAAAGGGAGGUCUCUUCGGAGACCCACAGAAAAAAGGCCCAAGCAACUGUUUACCAAAAACAUAGGUCUCUGCUAAAGCGAAAGCUGAUGUAUAGGGGCUGACGCCUGCCCAGUGCUGGAAGGUUAAGAGGAUAGGUCAGAUGGACGCAAGUCGAUAACAUCAAAGCCUUGAAUUGAAGCCCCAGUGAACGGCGGCCGUAACUAUAACGGUCCUAAGGUAGCGAAAUUCCUUGUCAGGUAAGUUCUGACCCGCACGAAAGGCGUAAUGAUUUGGGCGCUGUCUCAACCAUGGACUCGGUGAAAUCUUAAUACCUGUGAAAAUGCAGGUUACCCGCGACAGGACGGAAAGACCCCAUGGAGCUUUACUGUAGCUUGAUAUUGUAAUCAGGUAGUGUAUGUAGAGGAUAGGUGGUAGACUUUGAUGUAUAGACGCUAGUUUAUGCGGAGUCGCCCUUGGAAUACCACCCUUACGUUGCUUGAUUACUAACUUGUUCCCGUAAUCCGGGAAGAGGACAGUGUCUGGUGGGCAGUUUGACUGGGGCGGUCGCCUCCCAAAAUGUAACGGAGGCGCCCAAAGGUUCCCUCAGAUUGGUCGGAAAUCAAUCGAAGAGUGUAUUGGUAUAAGGGAGCUUAACUGUGAGACCUACAAGUCGAGCAGAUGCGAAAGCAGGGCAAAGUGAUCAGGCGGUAGAAAAUGGAAUUGCCGUCGCUUAACGGAUAAAAGUUACCCUGGGGAUAACAGGCUGAUACCACCCAAUAGUUCACAUAGACGGUGGUGUUUGGCACCUCGAUGUCGGCUCGUCACAUCCUGGAGGUGAAGUCGCUUCCAAGGGUUGGGCUGUUCGCCCAUUAAAGUGGCACGCGAGCUGGGUUCAGAACGUCGUGAGACAGUUCGGUCCCUAUCCGUCGUGGGCGUAGGAAAAUUGAGGAGAGCUGAUUCUAGUACGAGAGGACCGAAUUGGACAUACCUCUGGUGUAUCUGUUGUAACGCCAGUUGCAGUGCAGAGUAUCUAUGUAUGGAAAGGAUAAUCGCUGAAAGCAUCUAAGCGAGAAGCCUCCUCCAAGAUGAAUUUUCCCAUAUUUUAUAUAGUAAGUAUCCUUGUAGACUACGAGGUUGAUAGGCUAGAGGUGGAAGCAUAGUGAUAUGUUGAGCUGACUAGUACUAAUAAUACGAGGAUUUAAUCAC
RNAcentral lists this ribosomal RNA (1671 nucleotides) under human gut metagenome. RNAcentral's name for it is "bacterial LSU rRNA". It matches the Rfam family "Bacterial large subunit ribosomal RNA", at positions 1257 to 2925 of the family's 2925-position model. The record is from RNAcentral.